CCUACGGGAGGCAGCAGUGGGGAAUAUUGGACAAUGGACGCAAGUCUGAUCCAGCCAUGCCGCGUGCGGGAAGAAGGCCUUCGGGUUGUAAACCGCUUUUGUCAGGGAAGAAAAGGUUCUGGUUAAUACCUGGGACUCAUGACGGUACCUGAAGAAUAAGCACCGGCUAACUACGUGCCAGCAGCCGCGGUAAUACGUAGGGUGCAAGCGUUAAUCGGAAUUACUGGGCGUAAAGCGUGCGCAGGCGGUUAUGCAAGACAGAGGUGAAAUCCCCGGGCUCAACCUGGGAACUGCCUUUGUGACUGCAUAGCUAGAGUACGGUAGAGGGGGAUGGAAUUCCGCGUGUAGCAGUGAAAUGCGUAGAUAUGCGGAGGAACACCGAUGGCGAAGGCAAUCCCCUGGACCUGUACUGACGCUCAUGCACGAAAGCGUGGGGAGCAAACAGGAUUAGAUACCCUGGUAGUCCACGCCCUAAACGAUGUCAACUGGUUGUUGGGAGGGUUUCUUCUCAGUAACGUAGCUAACGCGUGAAGUUGACCGCCUGGGGAGUACGGCCGCAAGGUUGAAACUCAAAGAGUAGUAGGCGUGNGAGAGCGACGACGACGACGACGGAGGAGGAGG
This 621-nucleotide ribosomal RNA is filed under the name uncultured bacterium. RNAcentral's name for it is "bacterial SSU rRNA". It matches the Rfam family "Bacterial small subunit ribosomal RNA", at positions 338 to 956 of the family's 1533-position model. The record is from RNAcentral.